CCGGCUGAUUGGUGAGGAUAAUUUCCCUAAGACUCUAACAUUUUGUAGGACUUGGAUAGCUCUAUUGCUGUAGAAAAUGUCAGGAUGGUGGAGAUUUAGAUAAGUGGUGUGAUGUUAUUGAUGGUAAACAGAAGACUGUGACCUUGAAUCUGAAGAUAUGUGAUGAAGACUGGAUGUUUGGGGUCACUCUCUGUUACAGUACUACAAAUCUAACAGUGCCCCACUCAGCCACAAAGAGGUUGUCUCUGAUGUCCACACAUAAACCGAAUGGAUCCUGUAAACCACAGUGAAUGUAACGGAGGAACUGUCCGUCCUGAUCUAGGAUGUGGAUACGGUCAUUGUCAUCGUCUGCUGUCAGGAUGUGACUCUGGCUGUCUGUAGUGAUGCCGCGUGGAGUAAAUGAUUGCUUGGUAUUAGAGGGAUGACCAGUGUAUCUAAAUCGGAGUUUUCCUGACUGAUUGACCACCACUACUGCUUUAGCGCCCCAG
Molecule: long non-coding RNA, 488 nt
Organism: Ostrea edulis (European flat oyster)
Lineage: Eukaryota; Metazoa; Mollusca; Bivalvia; Ostreida; Ostreidae
Exons: 3
Source: RefSeq, a predicted model, not a curated record